CUCAACACAAGUGGAGAAGAAGAAGAGAAGAGGAAACAGUCAUCCAACUAGCCUCUUGUGGCUGUGAGGAGUUGGGAAGUGUGCAGGAAGGGGCCUUUAGGCUCUGCCUCCUUGAAGGGCCUUAUCUGCUUAAGGCCAAAGGGUCAGUCUCUCCACUGACAACAAAGGGUUAACAUUUCACAGCAGGCUGCAUCUGCUCCCUCAAACAUAGAACUUUACACCAUCUGCUCAGGCAGAUUGGUUCAAUAAAAUCAUUUACAGGAACAAGAAUCGAAGUGACAAAUCCUUAAACAGCAGAUUCAACUGCGGACUUUAAAAUCACAAAUGCGGCGAUUUGUGAUCACGAAUUUUGUCUUAAUUCAUUCAAACAACAACCUCCCACUGUUACAGUGGUUUCCUGUGACAGGUAGUUAAUCUGUCAGGGGAAAGGAGGAAAUCUGAAUCCCAUAUAGUUACUAGAACUUCGUAGCAGACUAUAGAGACAAGAAUCAAAGUGACAAAUCCCUCAACAGCAGAUUCAACUGCAGACUUUAAAAUCACAAAUGUGGCGAUUUGUGAACACAAAUUUUGUCUGAAUUCAAUCAAACAACAACCUCCCACUGUUACAGUGGUUUCCUGUGACAGGUAGCUAAUCUGUCAGGGGAAAGGAGGAAAUCUGAAUCCCAUAUAGUUACUAGAACCUCGUAGCCGACUACAGAGACUUCAGGGGCUUGAAACCACAGCUCGGAGCAUCGCGAACACUGGGUUCAGCCAAAGGCCUUAAAUACAAGCGUACGGCGACGCCACAAUCGUGCACUUAAAUAUUGGACAGUCUAGACAGAGCAGAGGAGUCAGUCUCACUGCUACUCAGAACAACAUUUCACGCUGUCCAGCUCAAACACAGACUACAGGCAUGUAGUACAAGAGUGUGUGAAACACAGAGCAUAAAGGUUUUAUGCAUAGAUCAUGAAAACAUCAGAACUUAGUCAAGCAACUUCAGCAAGCAUAGCAUUGAUUGUGAUUAAGUCAAAAUAGCCUGGAAAUAAGUUUCUCGCAUCAAUUUGGAAGGCUAAGUUUUAGGUUGUCUGUUAGUAUCCAGAAGUUUUGUUUGAAACGCCUCACGCAGGGGCUCCAAAAUAUAUGUAGUGAUUUGAAAUGAGCCUCAUACGGUCGCACCAAAAUAUAUGUAGCGAUUUGAAAUGAGCCUCACAAGGCCGCACCAAAAUAAUACUUGGCGAUUGGAAUUUAUAAUAAAUGUCUGAAGAUUAAUAAUCUCAAAUUAUGACAUUUAUGCACUCGUUGAAAGGGGCACCACCCACCCUUAAUGGUGGGAAAAUAAAGAAAACAAAAGUUUAAUUCAGAAAUCAAACAUCAAGUCAGUUUUAAUUAAUCAGUCUUAAUUAAUCAGUCUUAAUUAAUCAGUCUCAUAUCUUAAGUCGAAAUUCUAAUUUCAGGGACUCCACUUCUGGAAGAACACUAACAGACAGGAACUUAGAAAAAUAAUGAUCUGUUUAUUACAGGAUAAAUGAUGGUACAACACACAUGCAAUAAAUGAUGAUAAGAUAAUGAAGAUAAAUAAUAAUAGGUGAAUAAAUAAAGAUUCUGAGUCAGGCUAAGAGCACUAAAGUUAAUGAUAGUGAGUGAAUAUGCGCUAACAUAUUAACCUACACUAACUUUGGUGUCGAGAUAAACUCGGAUGUGGAUUUGGAGGAAUCUAAGAUCACCAG
This is a non-coding RNA of Xyrichtys novacula (pearly razorfish), 1706 nucleotides long. NCBI's taxonomy places the organism in Eukaryota, Metazoa, Chordata, Actinopteri, Labriformes, Labridae. The record is from the annotation of a GenBank genome assembly.